Molecule: ribosomal RNA, 166 nt
Filed under: Aganope stuhlmannii
Lineage: Eukaryota; Viridiplantae; Streptophyta; Magnoliopsida; Fabales; Fabaceae
Description: 5.8S ribosomal RNA
Rfam family: 5.8S ribosomal RNA
About the family: 5.8S ribosomal RNA (5.8S rRNA) is a component of the large subunit of the eukaryotic ribosome. It is transcribed by RNA polymerase I as part of the 45S precursor that also contains 18S and 28S rRNA.
Source: RNAcentral
AACAAAAUGACUCUCGGCAACGGAUAUCUCGGCUCUUGCAUCGAUGAAGAACGUAGCGAAAUGCGAUACUUGGUGUGAAUUGCAGAAUCCCGUGAACCAUCGAGUCUUUGAACGCAAGUUGCGCCCGAAGCCAUUAGGCUGAGGGCACGCCUGCCUGGGUGUCACA